CAGGAACAGUAAAGCAGGCGACAGAAGAGAGUGUAUAAAAGACAACACGGUUCUCACAGGAUUGAAUGUGAAGGCUUUUCGUGAUGUCU
RNAcentral lists this long non-coding RNA (89 nucleotides) under Camelus dromedarius (Arabian camel). RNAcentral's name for it is "lncRNA (ENSCDRG00005008399.1)". Lineage: Eukaryota; Metazoa; Chordata; Mammalia; Artiodactyla; Camelidae. The record is from RNAcentral.